CGUGGAGACAGGUGGUGCAUGGCUGUCGUCAGCUCGUGUCGUGAGAUGUUGGGUUAAGUCCCGCAACGAGCGCAACCCUCACCUCUUGUUGCCAUCAGGUCAUGCUGGGCACUCUAGAGGAACUGCCCCGGUCAACGGGGAGGAAGGCGGGGAUGACGUCAAGUCAUCAUGCCCCUUACGUCCUGGGCUACACACGUGCUACAAUGGCCGGUACAAAGGGAUGCCACACCGCGAGGUAGAGCUAAACCCAAAAAGCCGGUCUAAGUUCAGAUUGGAGUCUGCAACUCGACUCCAUGAAGGAGGAAUCGCUAGUAAUCGCGUAUCAGCACGACGCGGUGAAUACGUUCCCGGGCCUUGUGCACACCGCCCGUCACACCACGAAAGCCUGCUGUACUCGAAGUCGCUGAG
This 408-nucleotide ribosomal RNA is filed under the name uncultured Methylomirabilota bacterium. Its description in RNAcentral is "bacterial SSU rRNA". It matches the Rfam family "Bacterial small subunit ribosomal RNA", at positions 1027 to 1434 of the family's 1533-position model. The record is from RNAcentral. Lineage: Bacteria; Methylomirabilota (SeqCode).